RNAcentral lists this ribosomal RNA (490 nucleotides) under uncultured bacterium. Its description in RNAcentral is "partial 16S ribosomal RNA". It matches the Rfam family "Bacterial small subunit ribosomal RNA", at positions 30 to 507 of the family's 1533-position model. The record is from RNAcentral.
AUUGAACGCUGGCGGCAGGCUUAACACAUGCAAGUCGAGCGGUAGCACAGGGGAGCUUGCUCCCUGGGUGACGAGCGGCGGACGGGUGAGGAAUGUCUGGGAAACUGCCUGAUGGAGGGGGAUAACUACUGGAAACGGUAGCUAAUACCGCAUAACGUCGCAAGACCAAAGAGGGGGACCUUCGGGCCUCUUGCCAUCAGAUGUGCCCAGAUGGGAUUAGCUAGUAGGUGGGGUAAUGGCUCACCUAGGCGACGAUCCCUAGCUGGUCUGAGAGGAUGACCAGCCACACUGGAACUGAGACACGGUCCAGACUCCUACGGGAGGCAGCAGUGGGGAAUAUUGCACAAUGGGCGCAAGCCUGAUGCAGCCAUGCCGCGUGUGUGAAGAAGGCCUUCGGGUUGUAAAGCACUUUCAGCGAGGAGGAAGGUGGUGAACUUAAUACGUUCAUCAAUUGACGUUACUCGCAGAAGAAGCACCGGCUAACUCCGUG